Molecule: ribosomal RNA, 475 nt
Filed under: uncultured bacterium
Lineage: Bacteria
Description: partial 16S ribosomal RNA
Rfam family: Bacterial small subunit ribosomal RNA
Source: RNAcentral
GACGAACGCUGGCGGCAUGCCUAACACAUGCAAGUCGAGCGGGCUGAUUCUUCGGAAAAAGCUAGCGGCGGACGGGUGAGUAACACGUGGGCAAUCUGCCUCAUAGAGGGGAAUAGCCUUCCGAAAGGAAGAUUAAUACCGCAUAAGAUUGCAGCUUCGCAUGAAGUAGCGAUUAAAGGAGCAAUCCGCUGUGAGAUGGGCCCGCGGCGCAUUAGCUAGUUGGUGAGGUAACGGCUCACCAAGGCGACGAUGCGUAGCCGACCUGAGAGGGUGAUCGGCCACAUUGGGACUGAGACACGGCCCAGACUCCUACGGAGGCAGCAGUGGGGAAUAUUGCACAAUGGGGGAAACCCGGAUGCAGCAAUGCCGCGUGAGUGAUGACGGCCUUCGGGUUGUAAAGCUCUGUCUUCGGGGACGAUAAUGACGGUACCCGAGGAGGAAGCCACGGCUAACUACGUGCCAGCAGCCGCCGUAA